RNAcentral lists this small nuclear RNA (131 nucleotides) under Tropilaelaps mercedesae. RNAcentral's name for it is "U1 spliceosomal RNA". It matches the Rfam family "U1 spliceosomal RNA". Rfam says of the family: U1 is a small nuclear RNA (snRNA) component of the spliceosome (involved in pre-mRNA splicing). Its 5' end forms complementary base pairs with the 5' splice junction, thus defining the 5' donor site of an intron. The record is from Rfam by way of RNAcentral. Lineage: Eukaryota; Metazoa; Arthropoda; Arachnida; Mesostigmata; Laelapidae.
CAACUUACCUGGUGUCGGGCACUCCGUGAUCAUGAAGGCGAAGACCCCAGGAGGAGGUCCUUCCAUUGCACUUCGGAAGGGCUGAGACCUGCCACUGUCCCAAACUGAGAAGGGUGGGGCAUGUAAUUAAC